Molecule: small RNA, 825 nt
Filed under: Oryza sativa Japonica Group (Japanese rice)
Lineage: Eukaryota; Viridiplantae; Streptophyta; Magnoliopsida; Poales; Poaceae
Description: sRNA Os06g0200600
Source: RNAcentral
CCAGGAAGGAUUCUGUCUAUUUUUCCGGGGCAGUUCAAGCAGGAAGAGAAACGGGCUAAAUUCAAGAGGAACUUACAAAAACUAGCAGGAAUCAGCUUCAAUUUUCGCUGCGUCUCUACUUUGAGUAAUCUGUCUGCAGCUUCGGAAACUUCAAACGCGAUUUGUACCAACCAACCACGCUCACCCCAGCCCAGCUCGCUUGACCGCUAACGCCGAGGAAUUUGGCAUACAGCGCCAUCAACGAGUGGCUCGGUGCGGAGGCGUGCGGCGUCAUGGUCGCCCGGUCGUCGUCACGCAGCAGCACAUCCACUUCGUGUCUCCGAGGCUCGGACAGGUCGGUACUGGGCGGUAGGUCCAAUGUGCCCAACUUUUCAACUGCUUUUCUACCAGCCCACUCCAAUCAGACCACACUUGUUCAGGUCAAUCAAUGCCCCAUGCAAAGACUGCCCUGAGAAAUGAGACUUUUUAAGGGGGUGUUUGCGAGCUCUCAAAAACAUAAGUUCUUAGGGUAAGGACACUUUUAUGAGAGGGACUAAAGUUUAGUCUCUAGUUGCUAAACUUUAGCCCCUCUCUUAAAAACAUAAGUCCUUAGGGUAGUGACUUAUUCUUUUGUGAGAGGGACUAAAGUUUAGUUCAAUUGUUCAAUGCUUCCAUCCAUUGUUACCUUCGCAACAAAAUCUAAGAUCCUCCUGCGAUGCUAUCUUAAUUUGGAAGUAGUGGUGGAAUCAUUGCCGCAUAUGUACAGUAACGAUUAUUUUUAAGAUUUAUAAUCUUAAAAUAAGUCUCAUCCCAUCCUAAAUUAUAAUAUUUUAGGAUGGAGGGAGU